AUUCUUGGUCAUUUAGAGGAAGUAAAAGUCGUAACAAGGUUUCCGUAGGUGAACCUGCGGAAGGAUCAUUACAAGUGAGGCUACCGAACGUUGGAAACAGCGGUUAGGAGCUUACACCCACCCGUGUUUACAUACUAUUGUUGCUUUGGCGGGCCGUGGCCUCCACUGCGGGCUCUGCUCGUGUGUGCCCGCCAGAGAACCAAACUCUGAAUGUUAGUGAUGUCUGAGUACUAUCUAAUAGUUAAAACUUUCAACAACGGAUCUCUUGGUUCUGGCAUCGAUGAAGAACGCAGCGAAAUGUGAUAAGUAAUGUGAAUUGCAGAAUUCAGUGAAUCAUCGAAUCUUUGAACGCACAUUGCGCCCUGUGGUAUUCCGCAGGGCAUGCCUGUUCGAGCGUCAUUUAACCACUCACGCCUAGCGUGGUAUUGGGGCACGCGGUCUCCGCGGCCCUCAAAAUUAGUGGCGGCGCCGGUGGGCUCUAAGCGUAGUACAUACUCCCGCUAUAGAGUUCCCCCCGGUGGCUCGCCAGAACCCCCAAUUUUUUACAGGUUGACCUCGGAUCAGGUAGGGAUACCCGCUGAACUUAAGCAUAUCAAUAAGCGGAGGAAAAGAAACCAACCAAUCU
Molecule: ribosomal RNA, 625 nt
Filed under: uncultured Phialocephala
Lineage: Eukaryota; Fungi; Ascomycota; Leotiomycetes; Helotiales
Description: eukaryotic LSU rRNA
Rfam family: 5.8S ribosomal RNA (bases 246-399)
Source: RNAcentral